This 554-nucleotide ribosomal RNA is filed under the name uncultured bacterium. RNAcentral's name for it is "bacterial SSU rRNA". It matches the Rfam family "Bacterial small subunit ribosomal RNA", at positions 339 to 906 of the family's 1533-position model. The record is from RNAcentral.
CUACGGGAGGCAGCAGUGGGGAAUUUUCCGCAAUGGGCGAAAGCCUGACGGAGCAAUACCGCGUGAGGGAAGACUGCCUAUGGGUUGUAAACCUCUUUUUUCAGGGAGGAAUAAAUGACGUGUACCUGAAGAAUAAGCAUCGGCUAACUCCGUGCCAGCAGCCGCGGUAAGACGGAGGAUGCAAGUGUUAUCCGGAAUCACUGGGCGUAAAGCGUCUGUAGGUGGUUUAAUAAGUCAACUGUUAAAUCUUGAGGCUCAACUUCAAAAUCGCAGUCGAAACUAUUAGACUAGAGUAUAGUAGAGGUAAAGGGAAUUUCCAGUGGAGCGGUGAAAUGCGUAGAUAUUGGAAAGAACACCGAUGGCGAAAGCACUUUACUGGGCUAUUACUAACACUCAGAGACGAAAGCUAGGGUAGCAAAUGGGAUUAGAUACCCCAGUAGUCCUAGCCGUAAACUAUGGAUACUAGAUGUUGAACAGAUCGACCUGUGCAGUAUCAAAGCUAACGCGUUAAGUAUCCCGCCUGGGAAGUAUGCUCGCAAGAGUGAAACUCAAAG